CUCUUAUCAAGAGAGGUGGAGGGACUGUGCCCGAUGAAGCCCGGCAACCGUCAACGAUGUUGAAAUGGUGCCAAUUCCUGCAAAGCGUAUGCUUUGAGAGAUGAGAG
RNAcentral lists this non-coding RNA (107 nucleotides) under Bacillus manliponensis. Its description in RNAcentral is "SAM-I sequence". It matches the Rfam family "SAM riboswitch aptamer (S box leader)". Rfam says of the family: The SAM riboswitch is found upstream of a number of genes which code for proteins involved in methionine or cysteine biosynthesis in Gram-positive bacteria. The SAM riboswitch acts at the level of transcription termination control. The predicted structure consists of a complex stem-loop region followed by a single stem loop terminator region. The record is from Rfam by way of RNAcentral. Lineage: Bacteria; Bacillati; Bacillota; Bacilli; Caryophanales; Bacillaceae.